GGAUGGAAAUGACAUUGAACUUGUUUCUCGUUCUGCUGCACUCAUAAACCAAAAAUGCCAUGUGAAAAACAAAGAUAUCCGUAAGUUUUUGGAUGGUAUCUACGUCAGUGAGAAGGGAAGAAUAGUUGAAGAAGAGUAAGUGUUAGCAAACUGGUUCUAAGAUCAUACACCGAUUUCGUAAGAACAUAUUUGAAGUUAAAUCAACAAUUUUGGUACUAGAUGACUACAUACCUGUUAAGGAUAAGUUUUUUGUUUUGUGUAUGGUUCAUUAAGAGAUGGAUGUUUUCUUUAGACAUGACUAUGGGUAAAACUUAGUGUAUGAGGGAUUUGUUAAAAUGUUUUAUCAAAACAUUAUUUGGUUUGUUA
RNAcentral lists this unclassified non-coding RNA (366 nucleotides) under Hevea brasiliensis (rubber tree). Lineage: Eukaryota; Viridiplantae; Streptophyta; Magnoliopsida; Malpighiales; Euphorbiaceae. The record is from RNAcentral.